RNAcentral lists this RNase MRP RNA (451 nucleotides) under Pochonia chlamydosporia 170. RNAcentral describes it as "RNase MRP". It matches the Rfam family "RNase MRP". From Rfam's summary of the family: RNase MRP is an enzymatically active ribonucleoprotein with two distinct roles in eukaryotes. In mitochondria it plays a direct role in the initiation of mitochondrial DNA replication. Lineage: Eukaryota; Fungi; Ascomycota; Sordariomycetes; Hypocreales; Clavicipitaceae. The record is from Rfam by way of RNAcentral.
CCCUCGCUCAACAAAUCGCUAUUCGAAGCUUACACACAGAGACACUCGGCUUCGGCCAGAGUCUCGUUACAAACCAUUGCUUUGGGAGAAAGUCCCCGGACGUCUCUCUUCGGAGAGUCUGCGGAAACGCGCCGCCAUAGAAGCACUGCGGCUGACCUUUUGCGCCUUGGCCCUCUUCGUGCAUCAUCCCGCCCUGCCCGUCGCUACAUCCAGUCUGCGAGUCUUUGCCGGACCCCAGUUGCAUCUCUCGGCCCCUUUGGACGAAGAUAUGAGUCCGCGUUGGGAUGGUGUGACUGGGACUCUCUGGCAAGGGCAAGCAGGCUUGGAUGAUGGGUGGCCGUGGGAGACGUGAAGUGUGGUAUCGGGUGCUAAGGAUGUGUUGUCGAGGUUGAUAGGUAUGCGAUUGCUCGGUUUACCGGGUUACUCGAUGGGGCUUAUUCUUGAGGCGAGG